This is a long non-coding RNA of Bubalus bubalis (water buffalo), 720 nucleotides long. RefSeq lists it as uncharacterized. The record is from RefSeq and is a predicted model, not a curated record. Lineage: Eukaryota; Metazoa; Chordata; Mammalia; Artiodactyla; Bovidae. The transcript is spliced from 2 exons.
GAGCUGCUGGGGGCAGAGCGUGAGGCUGACGGCGUGAAACUGGGCAGAGCAGGCCGCGAUCUGAGGUUCUUGUGGCGGACACGGGCCUGGGCGCCGAGGCCCUCGCCGGGUGUUCGUUAACAGGCACAAGGCCAUAGUUAGAGAAACAAAGACAGAGCACGGCCAGGUCCCUUCAAAGCCUCCGGCCGACGAAAGGACUGGUUCAGAACUGAAGCCCGUGACGAAGCUGUCGCUUCUCGGGUCCACGGGUGGGACGCUGAACAUGCACCAGACAGCGCCCCGCGUCCAGGUCAGGCUUCAGCAGGUCGCGUGGCCCUCCCUGAGUGACUCCCACGAACGGGCCCAGCGUCCAGCUGUUGAACGAAGCAACUGAGAAACCUAGGAGCGCUGGGAUUUCAGCCAGAGCAGCAGCCCUAGGAAGUAGAUAUUCCUGCUGUUCCUGAUUUUACAGAAGAAACCAAGGCUCAAGUAAUUACCACAGGCCAAAUAAACGACAGAGGCAAAGUUUGACUCCCAAGACUGCCUUCUCAAAUACUAUACCAGUGGUUCUUAAGUGUUAAUAUAUGCAAAAAUCAUAUAAAAUACUGCUUAAAAUGCAGACCUCACUCCAAAGAUUCUGACUCAGCAGGCCCCAUGUUUGCCCUGGGAAUCUGGUUUUUUGUUUGUUUGUUUUUGUUUUGUUUUGUUUUCAAUAAAAUACACCAGGUGAUUCUAAUUUGA